Molecule: ribosomal RNA, 441 nt
Filed under: Pseudomonas sp. SN10
Lineage: Bacteria; Pseudomonadati; Pseudomonadota; Gammaproteobacteria; Pseudomonadales; Pseudomonadaceae
Description: bacterial SSU rRNA
Rfam family: Bacterial small subunit ribosomal RNA
Source: RNAcentral
GCCUUGCGCUAUCAGAUGAGCCUAGGUCGGAUUAGCUAGUUGGUGGGGUAAUGGCUCACCAAGGCGACGAUCCGUAACUGGUCUGAGAGGAUGAUCAGUCACACUGGAACUGAGACACGGUCCAGACUCCUACGGGAGGCAGCAGUGGGGAAUAUUGGACAAUGGGCGAAAGCCUGAUCCAGCCAUGCCGCGUGUGUGAAGAAGGUCUUCGGAUUGUAAAGCACUUUAAGUUGGGAGGAAGGGUUGUAGAUUAAUACUCUGCAAUUUUGACGUUACCGACAGAAUAAGCACCGGCUAACUCUGUGCCAGCAGCCGCGGUAAUACAGAGGGUGCAAGCGUUAAUCGGAAUUACUGGGCGUAAAGCGCGCGUAGGUGGUUAGUUAAGGUUUGAAUGGUGAAAUCCCCGGGCUCAACCUGGGAACUGCAUUCAAAACUGACUGA